UACGGGGGGGGUAAGCGUUGUUCGGAAUUACUGGGCGUAAAGGGCUCGUAGGCGGCCAACUAAGUCAUACGUGAAAUCCCUCAGCUUAACUGGGGAACUGCGUGUGAUACUGGAUGGCUUGGAUUUGGGAGAGGGAUGCGGAAUUCCAGGUGUAGCGGUGAAAUGCGUAGAUAUCUGGAGGAACACCGGUGGCGAAGGCGGCAUCCUGGACCGGUAUUGACGCUGAGGCGCGAAAGCUAGGGGAGCAAACGGG
This 253-nucleotide ribosomal RNA is filed under the name uncultured bacterium. Its description in RNAcentral is "partial 16S ribosomal RNA". It matches the Rfam family "Bacterial small subunit ribosomal RNA", at positions 524 to 776 of the family's 1533-position model. The record is from RNAcentral.